Rhodamnia argentea is the source of this 294-nucleotide long non-coding RNA. RefSeq lists it as uncharacterized. The record is from RefSeq and is a predicted model, not a curated record. The transcript has 3 exons. Lineage: Eukaryota; Viridiplantae; Streptophyta; Magnoliopsida; Myrtales; Myrtaceae.
AUGUCGCGGCGGGACAUGCAGGACUCACACAACCUCGAUACGGAGAUCUCCGAGGAUGAGAGGAAAACCAAGCUUGGGUCUCCCCAAAGAAGGCGGCAAUCAAUGCCCCAACCAAGAGGGGCCAAGGAGGCAACAACGUCGUAUGACGAAGACAUCAAUACCGAGGAUUCAUAGGCAAUGAAUGUGUUUUGCCAGGUACAUAUCCCAGAAGAGCUUUUGCCAUCUAAACACAACGAUAAAAUCUCAUACUAACAUUUUUAAGGGACAGAGUUUGAUAUUGAGGAGAUAAAGCAA